This 480-nucleotide ribosomal RNA is filed under the name uncultured bacterium. Its description in RNAcentral is "partial 16S ribosomal RNA". It matches the Rfam family "Bacterial small subunit ribosomal RNA", at positions 28 to 507 of the family's 1533-position model. The record is from RNAcentral.
GACGAACGCUGGCGGCGUGCUUAACACAUGCCAGUCGAACGAUGAAGAAAAGAAUCGAAGCUUCGGCAGAAAUUCAUUUCGGAUUAGUGGCAGACGGGUGAGUAACGCGUGAGCAACCUACCUCUUACAAAGGGAUAGCCUCGGGAAACCGGGAUUAUUACCAUAUAACAUUGCGACGAAGCAUUUCGAUGCAAUCAAAGCUACGGCGGUAAGAGAUGGGCUCGCGUCCCAUUAACCGGAUGGUGAGGUAACGGCUCACCAUAGUGACGAUGGGUAACCGGCCUGAGAGGGUGAACGGUCACACUGGAACUGAGACACGGUCCAGACUCCUACGGGAGGCAGCAGUGGGGAAUAUUGCACAAUGGAGGGAACUCUGAUGCAGCGACGCCGCGUGAGUGAUGAAGGAAUUCGUUUCGUAAAACUCUGUUCUAUGGGAAGAAAAGGACUGUACCAUAGGAGAAAGCUCCGGCUAAAUACGUG